AGAGGGUGCAAGCGUUAAUCGGAAUUACUGGGCGUAAAGCGCUCGUAGGCGGGAGUUUAAGUCGAUUGUGAAAUCCCCGGGCUCAACCUGGGAACUGCAGUCGACACUGGGCACCUAGAGUAUGGUAGAGGAAAGUAGAAUUCCCGGUGUAGCGGUGAAAUGCGUAGAUAUCGGGAGGAAUACCAGUGGCGAAGGCGGCUUUCUGGACCAAUACUGACGCUGAGGGGCGAAAGCGUGGGGAGCAAACAGGAUUAGAGACCCUGGUAGUCCACGCCGUAAACGAUGAGAACUAGGUGUUGGAGGGCUUAGACCCCUUUAGUACCGCAGCUAACGCGUUAAGUUCUCCGCCUGGGGAGUACGGCCGCAAGGUUA
RNAcentral lists this ribosomal RNA (372 nucleotides) under uncultured organism. RNAcentral describes it as "partial 16S ribosomal RNA". It matches the Rfam family "Bacterial small subunit ribosomal RNA", at positions 527 to 896 of the family's 1533-position model. The record is from RNAcentral.